AGUGAACGCUGGCGGUAGGCCUAACACAUGCAAGUCGAACGGCAGCACAGUAAGAGCUUGCUCUUACGGGUGGCGAGUGGCGGACGGGUGAGGAAUACAUCGGAAUCUACUUUUUCGUGGGGGAUAACGUAGGGAAACUUACGCUAAUACCGCAUACGACCUACGGGUGAAAGCAGGGGAUCUUCGGACCUUGCGCGAUUGAAUGAGCCGAUGUCGGAUUAGCUAGUUGGCGGGGUAAAGGCCCACCAAGGCGACGAUCCGUAGCUGGUCUGAGAGGAUGAUCAGCCACACUGGAACUGAGACACGGUCCAGACUCCUACGGGAGGCAGCAGUGGGGAAUAUUGGACAAUUGGCGCAAGCCUGAUCCAGCCAUACCGCGUGGGUGAAGAAGGCCUUCGGGUUGUAAAGCCCUUUUGCUGGGAAAGAAAAGCAGCAGGUUAAUACCCCGCUGUUCUGACGGUACCCAAAGAAUAAGCACCGGCUAACUUCGUG
Molecule: ribosomal RNA, 492 nt
Filed under: uncultured bacterium
Lineage: Bacteria
Description: partial 16S ribosomal RNA
Rfam family: Bacterial small subunit ribosomal RNA
Source: RNAcentral